RNAcentral lists this transfer RNA (71 nucleotides) under bacterium. Its description in RNAcentral is "tRNA-Met". It matches the Rfam family "tRNA". From Rfam's summary of the family: Transfer RNA (tRNA) molecules are approximately 80 nucleotides in length. Their secondary structure includes four short double-helical elements and three loops (D, anti-codon, and T loops). The record is from RNAcentral.
CGCGGAGUGGAGGAGUAGUACCUCGUCAGGCUCAUAACCUGGAGGCGUCCGUGCAAUUCGGGCCUCCGCAA